AAUUGCAACACGACGCAGAAUAAAAGGACUUAAGGUGUAAAUAUCCCUCCCAGACCUAACACGCGGGUCUUAACCAGGCAUGGCUCGGGUCAUCGGGUGAAGGCCACCACACGGCGUCGUAUCUAGACCAUCAAAAUUGGUCAAAAUGGCGUCGUUCCCAGUCUUUUAUAUAGACUAAACUAGCCGAAAUCAACAUGCACCCAUUCUGUUGAUUUUUCAAAUCCCUAAUCCCCUUUUAACCCCAUCACUGAUCCACCACCAAGAACAGCGACCAGGGGUUUGGAGGCUCUGAUGAAUCGAUUUUCAGCCUGAAAAUCCCUUCUUGACUUCGAUUUGAACGAAGCAAAAGAGGAUUGGCGGCCUAUUCGCAAGGUACGGCGCGUGCUGGCAUGCGUUGGCUCUUGGCGUGGGGCGUACGGAGGCACGGACGUGGUCGCUGGAGGGUACGGAGGCUGGGGCUGCUGCGGCGCAAGCAGAAACUGCUAGGGUUCUGCCUGAUUUUUUUGUUUUUGGGCUGUGGGAUAUUUGGGUCUAGGUUUGGGCUUGUAAUAAGUUUGGGCUAGGGUAUUAGUUUGGGUAUUGGGUUAGUGAUUGGGUCAAAGUCUGUAAAAGGACAUUUAAUGGACUGUUAUAAUAUUUAUUGGGUUUUUAUUAUUUUUUGUGACUUAUUUUUGUAUUUUUGUUUUGUUUUUGUCUUUGUACGGGCCGGGCAAAUUUGGCCCACUACAAAGAGUAUAUAAAUAUAUAAAUAAGUUUGGUUAUUAGAGUAAUUAAGAGUUAGGUGGAGUAAUUAGUCUGUUUAGAAGUUGGUCUAUUUAGAAUUUGUUAGCAACAGUUGUUAUUCUUCUCUGUAUAAAGCAAGUUAUUCACAGUUUGAGAA
Long non-coding RNA from Gossypium arboreum, 880 nucleotides. RefSeq lists it as uncharacterized. The record is from RefSeq and is a predicted model, not a curated record. The transcript is spliced from 2 exons. Lineage: Eukaryota; Viridiplantae; Streptophyta; Magnoliopsida; Malvales; Malvaceae.